Molecule: ribosomal RNA, 248 nt
Filed under: uncultured bacterium
Lineage: Bacteria
Description: partial 16S ribosomal RNA
Rfam family: Bacterial small subunit ribosomal RNA
Source: RNAcentral
CCUACGGGGGGCAGCAGUAGGGAAUCUUCCACAAUGGACGAAAGUCUGAUGGAGCAACGCCGCGUGAGUGAAGAAGGGUUUCGGCUCGUAAAGCUCUGUUGGUAGUGAAGAAAGAUAGAGGUAGUAACUGGCCUUUAUUUGACGGUAAUUACUUAGAAAGUCACGGCUAACUACGUGCCAGCAGCCGCGGUAAUACGUAGGUGGCAAGCGUUGUCCGGAUUUAUUGGGCGUAAAGCGAGUGCAGGCGG